RNAcentral lists this ribosomal RNA (784 nucleotides) under uncultured Neisseria sp. RNAcentral's name for it is "bacterial SSU rRNA". It matches the Rfam family "Bacterial small subunit ribosomal RNA", at positions 727 to 1512 of the family's 1533-position model. The record is from RNAcentral. Lineage: Bacteria; Pseudomonadati; Pseudomonadota; Betaproteobacteria; Neisseriales; Neisseriaceae.
UCCUGGGAUAACACUGACGUUCAUGCUCGAAAGCGUGGGUAGCAAACAGGAUUAGAUACCCUGGUAGUCCACGCCCUAAACGAUGUCAAUUAGCUGUUGGGCAACUUGAUUGCUUAGUAGCGUAGCUAACGCGUGAAAUUGACCGCCUGGGGAGUACGGUCGCAAGAUUAAAACUCAAAGGAAUUGACGGGGACCCGCACAAGCGGUGGGUGAUGUGGAUUAAUUCGAUGCAACGCGAAGAACCUUACCUGGUCUUGACAUGUACGGAAUCCUCCAGAGACGGAGGAGUGCCUUCGGGAGCCGUAACACAGGUGCUGCAUGGCUGUCGUCAGCUCGUGUCGUGAGAUGUUGGGUUAAGUCCCGCAACGAGCGCAACCCUUGUCAUUAGUUGCCAUCAUUAAGUUGGGCACUCUAAUGAGACUGCCGGUGACAAGCCGGAGGAAGGUGGGGAUGACGUCAAGUCCUCAUGGCCCUUAUGACCAGGGCUUCACACGUCAUACAAUGGUCGGUACAGAGGGUAGCCAAGCCGCGAGGCGGAGCCAAUCUCACAAAACCGAUCGUAGUCCGGAUUGCACUCUGCAACUCGAGUGCAUGAAGUCGGAAUCGCUAGUAAUCGCAGGUCGGCAUACUGCGGUGAAUACGUUCCCGGGUCUUGUACACACCGCCCGUCACACCAUGGGAGUGGGGGAUACCAGAAGUAGGUAGGGUAACCGCAAGGAGCCCGCUUACCACGGUAUGCUUCAUGACUGGGGUGAAGUCGUAACAAGGUAGCCGUAGGGGAACC